Molecule: non-coding RNA, 325 nt
Organism: Zootermopsis nevadensis
Lineage: Eukaryota; Metazoa; Arthropoda; Insecta; Blattodea; Termopsidae
Source: RefSeq, a predicted model, not a curated record
GUCAACAUCUGCUGAGUCAUUCCCUACCAAUUCAACACUGUCCAAUCCAAUACCUGCCGAUUCAACACCAGCUGAUUCAGCAUGUGCUCAGUCAACAUCAAUCGCUGAUUUAACAGAUUUUGAGUCAUGUGACAGUGACUCUGCAAUAAGUGAGACCAGUGUCCAGGCACCGACUGACAAUUUGCAGGAAGACUGUACAAGUAGUGGUUCUGUAGAAGAAAGGCAGUUAACUGAUGCAACUAGGGCUGCAAGUGGUCUCAUCUUCCCACCAACAAAGGGCACAUCGGCUGAUUCAGUGCCUACCAAUUCAACACCAUCCAAGCCA